Oncorhynchus kisutch (coho salmon) is the source of this 2439-nucleotide long non-coding RNA. The record is from Ensembl. NCBI's taxonomy places the organism in Eukaryota, Metazoa, Chordata, Actinopteri, Salmoniformes, Salmonidae.
AUGUUCUCUACUGUACUAUACUGUUCCCUACUGCAUUAUUCUGUUCUCUAUUGUACUAUACUGUUCUCUACUGUACUACACUGUUCUCUACUCCACUGUACUAUAGUGUUCUCUACUGUACUACACUGUUCUCUACUCUACUAUACUGUUCUCUACUGUUCUUUACUGUACUAUACUGUUCUCUAUUGUACUAUACUGUUCUGUUCUCUACUGUACUAUACUAUUUUCUACUGUACUAUAUUGUUCUCUACUCUACUAUACUGUUCUCUACUGUACUAUACUGUUCUCUAUUGUACUAUACUGUUUUGUACUGUACUAUACUGUUCUCUACUGUCCCCCACUGUACUAUACUGUUCUCUACUGUGCUCUACUGUUCCCUACUGUACUAUACCGUUCCCUACUGUACUAUACCGUUCUCUACUGUACUGUACUAUACUGUUUUCUACUGUGCUAUACUGUUCCCUACUGCAUUAUACUGUUCUCCACUGUACUAUACUGUUCUCUACUCCACUGUACUAUACUGUUCUCUGCUGUACUGUACUAAACUGUUCUCUACUGUACUAUACUGUUCUCUACUCCACUGUACUAUACUGUUUUCUACUGUACUGUACUAUACUGUUCUCUACUGUACUAUGCUGUUCUCUACUGUACUAUACUGUUCUCUACUAUACUAUACUGUUCCCUACUGUACUAUGCUGUUCUCUACUGUACUAUACUGUUCUCUACUAUACUAUACUGUUCCCUACUGUACUAUACUGUUCUCUACUGUACUAUACAGUUCUCUACUGUACUAUACAGUUCUCUACUGUACUGUACUGUUCCCUACUGUACUAUACUGUUCCCUACUGUACUCUACUGUACUAUACAGUUCUCUACUGUACUGUACUGUUCUCCACUGUACUAUACUGUUCUCUACUGUUCCCUACUGUUCUCUUCUGUACUCUACUGUGCUAUACUGUUCUCUGCUGUGCUCUACUGUUCCCUACUGUACUGUACUGUUCCCUACUGUACUAUACUGUUCCCUACUGUACUAUACUGUUCUCUACUGUACUACACUGUUCUCUACUCCACUGUACUAUAGUGUUCUCUACUGUACUACACUGUUCUCUACUCUACUAUACUGUUCUCUACUGUUCUUUACUGUACUAUACUGUUCUCUAUUGUACUAUACUGUUCUGUUCUCUACUGUACUAUACUAUUUUCUACUGUACUAUAUUGUUCUCUACUCUACUAUACUGUUCUCUACUGUACUAUACUGUUCUCUAUUGUACUAUAUUGUUUUGUUCUCUACUGUACUAUACUGUUCUCUACUGUACUAUAUUGUACUACACUGUUCCCUACUGUACUGUACUGUUCUCUACUGUACUGUACUAUACUGUUCUCUACUGUCCCCCACUGUACUAUACUGUGCUCUACUGUUCCCUACUGUACUAUACCGUUCCCUACUGUACUAUACCGUUCUCUACUGUACUGUACUAUACUGUUUUCUACUGUGCUAUACUGUUCCCUACUGCAUUAUACUGUUCUCCACUGUACUAUACUGUUCUCUACUCCACUGUACUAUACUGUUCUCUGCUGUACUGUACUAAACUGUUCUCUACUGUACUAUACUGUUCUCUACUCCACUGUACUAUACUGUUUUCUACUGUACUGUACUAUACUGUUCUCUACUGUACUAUGCUGUUCUCUACUGUACUAUACUGUUCUCUACUAUACUAUACUGUUCCCUACUGUACUAUACUGUUCUCUACUGUACUAUACAGUUCUCUACUGUACUGUACUGUUCCCUACUGUACUAUACUGUUCCCUACUGUACUAUACUGUUCUCUACUGUACUAUACAGUUCUCUACUGUACUGUACUGUUCCCUACUGUACUAUACUGUUCCCUACUGUACUAUACUGUUCUCUACUGUACUAUACAGUUCUCUACUGUACUGUACUGUUCUCCACUGUACUAUACUGUUCUCUACUGUUCCCUACUGUUCUCUUCUGUACUCUACUGUGCUAUACUGUUCUCUGCUGUGCUCUACUGUUCCCUACUGUACUAUACUGUUCCCUACUGUACUAUACCGUUCUCUACUGUACUGUACUAUACUUUUCUCUACUGUACUAUACUGUUCUCUACUGUACAAUACUGUUCUGUUCUCUACUGUGAUAAACUGUUCUCUACUCCACUGUACUAUACUGUUCUCUACUCCAAGGUACUAUACUGUUCUCUACUGUGCUAUACUGGUCUCUGCUGUGCUCUACUGUUCCCUACUGUACUAUACUGUUCCCUACUGUACUAUACUGUUCCCUACUGUACUAUACCGUUCUCUACUGUACUGUACUGUUCUCUAUUGUACUAUACUGUUCUCUACUGUACUAUACUGUUCUCUACUCCACUGUACUAUACUGUUUUCUACUGUACUAUACUAUUUUCUACUGUACUCUACUAA